AGAGUUUGAUCAUGGCUCAGGAUGAACGCUAGCGGCAGGCCUAAUACAUGCAAGUCGGACGGGAUUCAGGGAGUAGCUUGCUACGAACUGAUGAGAGUGGCGCACGGGUGCGUAACGCGUGAGCAACCUACCCAUAUCAGGGGGAUAGCCUCUCGAAAGAGAGAUUAACACCGCAUAACAUCAUUAACCGGCAUCGGAUUAUGAUCAAAUAUUUAUAGGAUAUGGAUGGGCUCGCGUGACAUUAGCUAGUUGGAGAGGUAACGGCUCACCAAGGCUACGAUGUCUAGGGGCUCUGAGAGGAGAAUCCCCCACACUGGUACUGAGACACGGACCAGACUCCUACGGGAGGCAGCAGUAAGGAAUAUUGGUCAAUGGAGGCAACUCUGAACCAGCCAUGCCGCGUGCAGGAUGACUGCCCUAUGGGUUGUAAACUGCUUUUGUCAGGGAAUAAACCUUUCCACGUGUGGAGAGCUGAAUGUACCUGAAGAAUAAGGAUCGGCUAACUCCGUGCCAGCAGCCGCGGUAAUACGGAGGAUCCAAGCGUUAUCCGGAUUUAUUGGGUUUAAAGGGUGCGUAGGCGGUCCUAUAAGUCAGUGGUGAAAGACGGCAGCUUAACUGUCGCAGUGCCUUUGAUACUGUAGGACUUGAAUCUAUUUGAAGUGGGCGGAAUAAGACAAGUAGCGGUGAAAUGCAUAGAUAUGUCUUAGAACUCCGAUUGCGAAGGCAGCUCACUAAGUUAGUAUUGACGCUGAUGCACGAAAGCGUGGGGAUCAAACAGGAUUAGAUACCCUGGUAGUCCACGCCCUAAACGAUGAUAACUCGAUGUUUGCGAUACACAGUAAGCGUCCAAGCGAAAGCGUUAAGUUAUCCACCUGGGGAGUACGGUCGCAAGAUUGAAACUCAAAGAAAUGA
RNAcentral lists this ribosomal RNA (912 nucleotides) under uncultured bacterium. RNAcentral's name for it is "bacterial SSU rRNA". It matches the Rfam family "Bacterial small subunit ribosomal RNA", at positions 8 to 912 of the family's 1533-position model. The record is from RNAcentral.